RNAcentral lists this ribosomal RNA (264 nucleotides) under uncultured bacterium. RNAcentral describes it as "partial 16S ribosomal RNA". It matches the Rfam family "Bacterial small subunit ribosomal RNA", at positions 90 to 354 of the family's 1533-position model. The record is from RNAcentral.
ACUGAGCGGCGGACGGGUGAGUAACGCGUGGGUAACCUGCCUUACACAGGGGGAUAACAGUUAGAAAUGACUGCUAAUACCGCAUAAGACCCCGGUACCGCAUGGUACAGAGGUAAAAACUGAGGUGGUGUAAGAUGGACCCGCGUCUGAUUAGGUAGUUGGUGAGGUAACGGCUCACCAAGCCGACGAUCAGUAGCCGGCCUGAGAGGGUGGACGGCCACAUUGGGACUGAGACACGGCCCAGACUCCUACGGGAGGCAGCAG